AACUUUCGACAACGGAUCACUUGGUUCUGGCAUCGAUGAAGAACGCAGCGAAAUGCGAUAAGUAAUGUGAAUUGCAGAAUUCAGUGAAUCAUCGAAUCUUUGAACGCACAUUGCACCCUCUGGCAUUCCGGGGGGUAUGCCUGUUCGAGCGUCAUUACAACCCUCAAGCCUUGCUUGGUGUUGGGUGCCACCUGUCACAGGGUGCACCUCAAAAUCAGUGGCGGUGCGGCCUGGCUUCAAGCGUAGUAACUCUUCUCGCUCCGGAGCCCAGGCGGCAUACCUGCCAACAACCUCAAACACAUCAAAGGUUGACCUCGGAUCAGGUAGGGAUACCCGCUGAACUUAAGCAUAUCAAUAAGCGGAGGCU
This 367-nucleotide unclassified non-coding RNA is filed under the name uncultured Microglossum. Its description in RNAcentral is "sequence contains ITS2". The stretch from base 1 to 154 matches the Rfam family "5.8S ribosomal RNA". Lineage: Eukaryota; Fungi; Ascomycota; Leotiomycetes; Myxotrichaceae. The record is from RNAcentral.